UGGUGAGUAACACGUAAGCAACCUGCCUAUCAGAGGGGAAUAACAGUGAGAAAUCAUUGCUAAUACCGCAUAUGCUAACAGUAUCGCAUGAUACAGUUAGGAAAGGAGCAAUCCGCUGAUAGAUGGGCUUGCGUCUGAUUAGCUAGUUGGUGGGGUAACGGCCUACCAAGGCGACGAUCAGUAGCCGGACUGAGAGGUUGAACGGCCACAUUGGGACUGAGAUACGGCCCAGACUCCUACGGGAGGCAGCAGUCGGGAAUAUUGCGCAAUGGAGGAAACUCUGACGCAGUGACGCCGCGUAUAGGAAGAAGGUUUUCGGAUUGUAAACUAUUGUCGUUAGGGAAGAUACAAGACAGUACCUAAGGAGGAAGCCCCGGCUAACUAUGUGCCAGCAGCCGCGGUAAUACAUAGGGGGCAAGCGUUAUCCGGAAUUAUUGGGUGUAAAGGGUGCGUAGACGGAGAAACAAGUUGGUUGUGAAAUCCCUCGGCUCAACUGAGGAACUGCAACCAAAACUAUUUCCCUUGAGUGUCGGAGAGGAAAGUGGAAUUCCUAGUGUAGCGGUGAAAUGCGUAGAUAUUAGGAGGAACACCAGUGGCGAAGGCGACUUUCUGGACGAUAACUGACGUUGAGGCACGAAAGUGUGGGGAGCAAACAGGAUUAGAUACCCUGGUAGUCCACACUGUAAACGAU
Molecule: ribosomal RNA, 691 nt
Filed under: uncultured bacterium
Lineage: Bacteria
Description: bacterial SSU rRNA
Rfam family: Bacterial small subunit ribosomal RNA
Source: RNAcentral